GUGAAUCAUCGAAUCUUUGAACGCACAUGGCACCCUCUGGUAUUCCGGGGGGUACGCCUGUCCGAGCGUCAUUUCAAACCUCAAGCUCACGCUUGCUGUUGGACCUGGUCCCGCGGGACCUGUCUGCAACCGGUCGACGGUGCCGUCCGGCCCCCAGGCGUAGCAGUUGUAAUCGCUUCGGAGGCUCGGUCGGAAGCCAGUCAAGCCAACCCACCUAGAAGUUUGACCUCGGAUCAGGCGGGGAUACCCGCUGAACUUAAGCAUAUCAAUAAGCGGAGGA
Molecule: unclassified non-coding RNA, 280 nt
Filed under: Dothideomycetes sp.
Lineage: Eukaryota; Fungi; Ascomycota; Dothideomycetes
Description: partial contains 5.8S ribosomal RNA, internal transcribed spacer 2, and large subunit ribosomal RNA
Rfam family: 5.8S ribosomal RNA (bases 1-71)
Source: RNAcentral